GGGGGCGAUAUGGAUUCGACGCUGGAAACAAAGUUCAAGGUGCAUGUCGUGAUGACAGCCAAUCACGUUAAUCCAAAGCUGUACUUGAAUAGUCGCAAACGACGAUUCUUACGCUCUAGCAGCUUAAUUGCUGCUAGCGGUCGAUAACAAGGUGCCAGUAC
This 161-nucleotide transfer-messenger RNA is filed under the name Moraxellaceae bacterium. RNAcentral's name for it is "partial transfer-messenger RNA". It matches the Rfam family "transfer-messenger RNA", at positions 1 to 169 of the family's 374-position model. Rfam says of the family: Bacterial tmRNA, also known as 10Sa RNA or SsrA, is named for its dual tRNA and mRNA-like properties. Its role is to liberate the mRNA from a stalled ribosome. The record is from RNAcentral. Lineage: Bacteria; Pseudomonadati; Pseudomonadota; Gammaproteobacteria; Moraxellales; Moraxellaceae.